RNAcentral lists this ribosomal RNA (484 nucleotides) under uncultured bacterium. RNAcentral describes it as "partial 16S ribosomal RNA". It matches the Rfam family "Bacterial small subunit ribosomal RNA", at positions 28 to 507 of the family's 1533-position model. The record is from RNAcentral.
AUUGAACGCUGGCGGCAUGCUUUACACAUGCCAGUCGAACGGCAGCGCGGGCUUCGGCCUGGCGGCGAGUGGCGAACGGGUGAGUAAUGCAUCGGAAUGUGCCCAGUAGUGGGGGAUAGCCCGGCGAAAGCCGGAUUAAUACCGCAUACGACCUGAGGGUGAAAGCGGGGGACCGAAAGGCCUCGCGCUAUUGGAGCGGCCGAUGUCGGAUUUGCUAGUUGGUGGGGUAAAGGCUUACCAAGGCGACGAUCCGUAGCUGGUCUGAGAGGACGACCGGCCACACUGGGACUGAGACACGGCCCAUACUCCUACGGGAGGCAGCAGUGGGGAAUUUUAGGCAAUGGGGGCAACCCUGAUCCAGCCCUGCCGCGUGCGGGAAGAAGGCCUUCGGGUUGUAAACCGCUUUUGUUCGGGAAGAAAUCCUCUGGGCUAAUACCCCGGGGGGAUGACGGUACCGGAAGAAUAAGCACCGGCUAACUACGUG